GAGGGUAUAGCUCAGUGGCAGAGCACAUGCUUAGCGUGCAUGAGGUCCUGGGUUCAACUCCCAGUACCUCCC
RNAcentral lists this transfer RNA (72 nucleotides) under Camelus bactrianus (Bactrian camel). It matches the Rfam family "tRNA". From Rfam's summary of the family: Transfer RNA (tRNA) molecules are approximately 80 nucleotides in length. Their secondary structure includes four short double-helical elements and three loops (D, anti-codon, and T loops). RNAcentral also lists the same sequence under 2 other names. Lineage: Eukaryota; Metazoa; Chordata; Mammalia; Artiodactyla; Camelidae. The record is from Rfam by way of RNAcentral.